RNAcentral lists this ribosomal RNA (623 nucleotides) under Scolopocryptops nigridius. RNAcentral describes it as "eukaryotic LSU rRNA". It matches the Rfam family "Eukaryotic large subunit ribosomal RNA", at positions 1507 to 1897 of the family's 3401-position model. Lineage: Eukaryota; Metazoa; Arthropoda; Chilopoda; Scolopendromorpha; Cryptopidae. The record is from RNAcentral.
UUCCAUGUGAACAGCAGUUGAACAUGGGUCAGUCGGCCCUAAGGAAUAGGGGAAACCCGUUCCGAAGCGUGGGGAAAAAUGACAGAAAUAUAAAUGCAUAAAAAGAAAGCCAAAAGAAAGAGAAAUGUGAAACACGAACACACGCAGAAUCGAAGUGGGAAUGCUUCCUCGUGAAGAGUCACUUUUGCGUGAAGAUAUAAAAAACAGAAAGAGUGGGAAUGCUUCCUCGUGAAGAGUCACUCGAUCGGAAAUUGGCAAAAAUGAAAAAAAGCAUUAUGAAAAAUGAAAAACCCCCGAAAGACCGAAAGGGAAUCGGGUUAAUAUUCCCGAACCCGGACACGGAGAUCGGCCCUUCGGGGCCCAUUGCGGUAACGCAAACGAACUCGGAGAAGUCGGCGGGAGUCCCGGGAAGAGUUGUCUUUUCUUUGUAAGGGACGGACUCCCUGGAAUCGGUUCGCCCGGAGAGAGGGAUGUUGUUCCCGUAAAGCACCGCGGCUCUUGCGGUGUCCGGAGCACUCCUGCCGGCCCUUGAAAAUCCGAGGGAGAGAAAAUGAUUUUCGUGCCGGACCGUACCCAUAUCCGCAGCAGGUCUCCAAGGUGAACAGCCUCUAGUCGAUAGAACA